CCUACGGGCGGCAGCAGUGGGGAAUAUUGCACAUUGGGCGCAAGCCUGAUGCAGCCAUGCCGCGUGUGUGAAGAAGGCCUUCGGGUUGUAAAGCACUUUCAGCGGGGAGGAAGGCGGUGAGGUUAAUAACCUCAUCGAUUGACGUUACCCGCAGAAGAAGCACCGGCUAACUCCGUGCCAGCAGCCGCGGUAAUACGGAGGGUGCAAGCGUUAAUCGGAAUUACUGGGCGUAAAGCGCACGCAGGCGGUCUGUCAAGUCGGAUGUGAAAUCCCCGGGCUCAACCUGGGAACUGCAUUCGAAACUGGCAGGCUAGAGUCUUGUAGAGGGGGGUAGAAUUCCAGGUGUAGCGGUGAAAUGCGUAGAGAUCUGGAGGAAUACCGGUGGCGAAGGCGGCCCCCUGGACAAAGACUGACGCUCAGGUGCGAAAGCGUGGGGAGCAAACAGGAUUAGAUACCCGAGUAGUC
Molecule: ribosomal RNA, 465 nt
Filed under: uncultured Klebsiella sp.
Lineage: Bacteria; Pseudomonadati; Pseudomonadota; Gammaproteobacteria; Enterobacterales; Enterobacteriaceae
Description: bacterial SSU rRNA
Rfam family: Bacterial small subunit ribosomal RNA
Source: RNAcentral